CUCAACAAAAUCGACAAAAUUGAGAUUUGUCUACACUUCAACACAUUCGACCUUCAAAAUGAGUCACUUUGGCUGCUUAGCUCAAUAGAUUACAUAGCUAACAACUUAAAAACAUACACAAAAAUUUUGAACAAAAAAUAUAUUUAAGUUCAGAAGCUACAAAAAAUAUCGUGAACUAUAUAUACAACUUGAACACAAACAAAUGCGUUUUCCAAAUGCAUUUUGUUGAGCAUUACUUUUAGAGUGAAAAACUUCAAUUUCUUAAAUCCAACUUUACAAUUUGCAAUCAUCAACUAUCAGGCCUUCCAUCUGUAUUCUUCUAUUGCUACAUCUCCAAUUCCAUAUUACCAUUAGCUGCGUCUUCUUUAGUGAAUAACAACGAAAACAACACAACAAGAUGACGAUUAAAGACGGUACUUUUCCAACAAUCUUCUAAAGAUACUAAUCAAAACAAUAUUUUCAAUAUUCAACAAGAGGAUCAGUUAUAAUGAAUCAUUCACCAGCUUAACAUCCAAAUAUGGAAUGCAAAUCAGAUGACAAUAAAUAAACAUCAUUUCCUCUUGGUUCCUCAUGUGUUGACCAAAUAUAUCCACAGAUCACUGAUCAGUCUAAGUUCCCACUCCUACACUAUAUAUUACAAGUCAUAAAACAGUUAUGGGCAUCAGUUCUCCAAGGUUGAUAGCAUCAAUGAAAGAUUCAGACGCAAAUUACCCAUUUACGAUAUAUAAGAUUUCAUCAUUAGCCCAUAAAACUAACAAUCAAAACUUGAAUAAACACAAAAGGAAGAGGAUUAAUCAUUUAACGAUCAGAACCUGUCGGGAUUCACACUUUACAUCAUGAAAUGUAUUUCAGUGGAUUGACAGACUUAUGAAUUCUAUCAUCACGUCGUAUUCGAAUGGAACGUAAAAAAAUUUAACAGGGCUCAGAACUUCUUAGAGGGUAGUGUAAGCCAUCACAGACCAAAGUCUCCGACACAAGAUAUUUUUCAUCAUAGCACCAAAAAAUAACCAUUAAAACAAAUAAAGCUUCGCAAUAGGACUCAGUUUAUGGGUGGUGAUAUAUCAGAAUGGUCGGCAAGGUGGUUUUAAACACCAUUACGACGAACGAGACCAAUAGAUAUAAGUCGUCACAGUCCAUUAACCAUUUCAAUUUUUCAAAAAAAACAAAUCAUAUGCAUUUAACACAAAAGAAAACAAAGAGUCAUCAGAUAGGAGCGAAAGACUAUAAAGAUUGUUUUAUAAUCACAAAAAAAUAUCAUUUGAACUAUGCUUUUAAUCAUCAUCUGACCCAUAUAUAUAUAUAUAACAAAGCAAAAACAGAUUUUGAAAAGCAUAAAAUAUAAUUGGCCUCAUAGAGAAGAUUAGGUAUUCAACAUAAUGAAAAUUCAGUCAUAUGCUUGUCUAUAAAAGAAAUUUAAUCAUUGGCCACUGAUAAGCAAACAAAUAAUCAAAAAGAUCAAAACUUUAUCAUAGAUAUAACAAUACCAGUAUAAUUGGGGAUAUAGCAAUUUGUUCGAGGCCGUAAUCAAUACGAGAAAAAAGAUUGAAAGGCACGGAGAAUCGCUAUACAUAUAGCCAACCUUCAAUGCAAAUAUCUGUCAUUUUUGAAGGACACCAUUGCUCUGCAAAUUGGCUUGUAUCACAAAUUUAACAGUAUAGGGAUAAGAUAUAGCAAUUUGUUCGAGGCCAUAAUCAAUACAAGAAAAAAGCUUGAAAGGCACGGAGAAUUGCUAUGUAUAUAGCCAACCUUCAAUGCAAAUGAGUGUCAUUUUUGAGAGACACCUUUGCUCUGCUAAUUGGCAUACAAAGUAAAAAAAAGUUUUAAAGGGCAUCAGUUCUCCAAGGUGAUAACAUCAAAGAAUGAUUCAGACGCAAAUUACCCAUUUACGAUAUAAAAAUUUCAUCAUUUGCCCAUAAGAUAAAGAAAUUAACAAAGCAAAAAUCAGAAUUAACGGAGGAUUAAUUAACUAAUAAACGAUCAGAACCUGUCGAGAUUCACUUUGAACAUCAUAAAAAUGUAAUUCAGUGAAUUAACAUAUGAAUUCUAUCUUCACUUCAUUCAAUUACUAUUACUCACUACUCACUUAAAAUACUGAUAUUGAAAACAAAAAAAAGAAGUGCUCAGAACUUCUUAGAGGGUUGUGUAAGCCAUCAACGACGAUAAGUCUCCGACACAAGGAAUUUUUCAUCACAGCACAAAAAAAUGGUGAAUUGAAUUGAAAAAUUAACAAAACAGUAUGAUAAUGGGACUCAGUUUAUGGGUGGUGAUAUAUCAGAAUGGUCGGCAAGGUGAUUUAAACACCAUUACGACGAACGAGACCAAAUAGAUAAAUCGUCAUUGUCCAUUAACCAUUUCAAUUUUUCAAUAUACACAACAAUCAAUGGCUUAAAAAUUAGAUUUUAAUACUAAUAUGAAGAGUCAUCAGAUAGGAGCGAAAGACUAAAAAGAAUUUUUGUAAUCAUAUAAAUCUCAUUUGAACUAUGCUUCUAAUCAUCAUAUGACCCUGUUUUUUUUUUAAUUAUUGAGCACAAAAAGUUGAAAUCUGGAUAGAAAAACAAAAAAAAAAGUAUGUAAUUGGCCUCAUAGAGAAGAUUAGGUAUUCAACAUGAUGAAAAUUCAGACAUAUGCUUGUCUAUAUUUAAGAAAUUUAAUCAUAGGCCAAAAAUAAACAAAAUCAAAACAGAGAAAUUGAACUGUAAAAUCGAAAGGGCGAAGCUUACUCUUAUGGAGGAAAGUGAAAGCUGUAAAACCCUAGAUCAGAAGAG
Molecule: long non-coding RNA, 2765 nt
Filed under: Solanum lycopersicum (tomato)
Lineage: Eukaryota; Viridiplantae; Streptophyta; Magnoliopsida; Solanales; Solanaceae
Description: long non-coding RNA (SLYC_LNC000987)
Source: RNAcentral